AACAUUGAGCACUGCUUUAUUUGGGGGAUACUUUCGAAGAGAUAAUACCCAUAAUAUUUGAUUGGCUCUUCNACUUUGAAACUCCGGUGAUAAAGAUGGGCACGCGCAGAUAAUAGUGGUGAGGUAACGGCUCACCAAGUCUACGAUCUUUAGGGGGCCUGAGAGGGUGAUCCCCCACACUGGUACUGAGACACGGACCAGACUCCUACGGGAGGCAGCAGUGAGGAAUAUUGGACAAUGGGUGAGAGCCUGAUCCAGCCAUCCCGCGUGAAGGACGACUGCCUAUGGGUUGUAACUCUUUGUAUAGGGAUAACCUACCUCGUGAGGUACUGAGGUACUAUACAAUAACACGGUAAUCGUGCAACGGAAACGAGGUGCACGUAUCGAUUAUGGUAGGUCAGGAUCUGGAAGUCCGUGGUGAAUUCUCACAGGUUUANUUGUGAANUGCCUUGGAAACUGGGGGUCUUGGAGUUGGUGUUGAAUCUUGGGAAAAUAUUUGGGCGGGGAAAUGNUAAAUUUUUUUUAAACCCCUUUGGAGAGGGGUGUUUAUAACAAAUGGGCGUUUUGGAAAAUGUUGGGGGAGCAGAACGAGAUAAAACA
RNAcentral lists this ribosomal RNA (600 nucleotides) under uncultured bacterium. Its description in RNAcentral is "bacterial SSU rRNA". It matches the Rfam family "Bacterial small subunit ribosomal RNA", at positions 113 to 784 of the family's 1533-position model. The record is from RNAcentral.